CCAGCAGCUGCGGUAAUUCCAGCUCCAAUAGCGUAUAUUAAUGUUGUUGCAGUUAAAAAGCUCGUAGUUGGAUUUCUGCGUCGCACGUCCCGGUCCGCCGCUCUGCGGUGCGACUGUUUGGGCGGAGCGUCGCAUCCUUGCGGGGACCAUUUCUGCCAUUAAUUUGGUGGUCUUGGGAACCGCAUCGUUUACUGUGAAAAAAUUAGAGUGUUCAAAGCAGGCUUUAUGCCGUGAAUACAUUAGCAUGGAAUAAUAAGAUAGGACUUUGGUUCUAUUUUGUUGGUUGGAGGCCAAGGUAAUGAUUAAUAGGGAUAGUUGGGGGUAUUCAUAUUUCGUUGUCAGAGGUGAAAUUCUUGGAUUUAUGGAAGAUGAACUUAUGCGAAAGCAUUUACCAAGGAUGUUUUCAUUAAUCAAGAACGAAAGU
This 424-nucleotide ribosomal RNA is filed under the name uncultured eukaryote. RNAcentral describes it as "SSU rRNA". It matches the Rfam family "Eukaryotic small subunit ribosomal RNA", at positions 567 to 990 of the family's 1831-position model. The record is from RNAcentral.